Molecule: unclassified non-coding RNA, 199 nt
Filed under: uncultured Xenasmataceae
Lineage: Eukaryota; Fungi; Basidiomycota; Agaricomycetes; Russulales; Xenasmataceae
Description: sequence contains ITS1
Source: RNAcentral
AUGAGUCUGAACGAAGCUGUUCUGGUCUUUCGGGGCAAGUGAACGCUUCACUCAAUCCAUCUUACACCCGUGCACCUUUGGGGGGGAAUAACAGAGGAUUCAAAAAGUUGGAUAACGACGAUGACCCUUCAUGUUAUUCUCUUCUAUCAAAAAUUACUGUAUUUAGAAAGUCUUUGUUUUGCUUGAUGCAAACUAUAUA